CGGGAAGAGCUCAAAUUUGAAAUCUGGCAGUCUUCGAUUGUCCGAGUUGUAAUCUAUAGAGGCGUUUUCCGUGCCGGACCGUGUCCAAGUCUCCUGGAAAGGAGUAUCAAAGAGGGUGAUAAUCCCGUACUUAACACGACCACCGGUGCUCUGUGAUACGUCUUCUAC
Molecule: ribosomal RNA, 168 nt
Filed under: Trichosporon sp.
Lineage: Eukaryota; Fungi; Basidiomycota; Tremellomycetes; Trichosporonales; Trichosporonaceae
Description: partial large subunit ribosomal RNA
Rfam family: Eukaryotic large subunit ribosomal RNA
Source: RNAcentral